RNAcentral lists this transfer RNA (75 nucleotides) under Rosa chinensis. RNAcentral describes it as "tRNA RchiOBHm_Chr6g0274381". It matches the Rfam family "tRNA". From Rfam's summary of the family: Transfer RNA (tRNA) molecules are approximately 80 nucleotides in length. Their secondary structure includes four short double-helical elements and three loops (D, anti-codon, and T loops). Further hydrogen bonds mediate the characteristic L-shaped molecular structure. tRNAs have two regions of fundamental functional importance: the anti-codon, which is responsible for specific mRNA codon recognition, and the 3' end, to which the tRNAs corresponding amino acid is attached (by aminoacyl-tRNA synthetases). tRNAs cope with the degeneracy of the genetic code in two manners: having more than one tRNA (with a specific anti-codon) for a particular amino acid; and 'wobble' base-pairing, i.e. permitting non-standard base-pairing at the 3rd anti-codon position. The record is from RNAcentral. Lineage: Eukaryota; Viridiplantae; Streptophyta; Magnoliopsida; Rosales; Rosaceae.
ACUUUGUUGUAGUAUAGUGGUAAGUAUUCCUGCCUGUCAUGCGGGUGACCCGGGUUCGAUCCCCGACAACGGUGC